This 505-nucleotide ribosomal RNA is filed under the name uncultured bacterium. RNAcentral's name for it is "partial 16S ribosomal RNA". It matches the Rfam family "Bacterial small subunit ribosomal RNA", at positions 28 to 507 of the family's 1533-position model. The record is from RNAcentral.
GGCGAACGCUGGCGGCGUGCCUAAUACAUGCAAGUAGAACGCACAGUUUAUACCGUAGCUUGAUACAACAUAGACUGUGAGUUGCGAACGGGUGAGUAACGCGUAGGUAACCUGCCUGGUAGCGGGGGAUAACUAUUGGAAACGAUAGCUAAUAACGCAUAAUAUUCAUUAUUGCAUGAUAAUUAAUUGAAAGGUGCAAUUGCACCACUACCAGAUGGACCUGCGUUGUAUUAGCUAGUAGGUGAGGUAACGGCUCACCUAGGCGACGAUGCAUAUCCGACCGGAGAGGGGGGACGGCCACAAUGAGACUGAGACACGGCACAGUGGCCUAAGGGAGGCGGCAGUAGGGAAACUUCGGCAAUGAGCGGAAAACCGACCGAGCAACGCCGCGUGAGUGAAGAAGGGUUUCGGAUCGUAAAGCUCUGUUGUAAGGGAAGAACGGGUGUGAGAGUGGAAAGUACACACAGUGACGGUAUCUUACCAGAAAGGUACGGCUAACUACGUG